RNAcentral lists this non-coding RNA (163 nucleotides) under uncultured Limosilactobacillus sp. Its description in RNAcentral is "Lysine riboswitch". It matches the Rfam family "Lysine riboswitch aptamer". From Rfam's summary of the family: Riboswitches are metabolite binding domains within certain messenger RNAs that serve as precision sensors for their corresponding targets. Lineage: Bacteria; Bacillati; Bacillota; Bacilli; Lactobacillales; Lactobacillaceae. The record is from RNAcentral.
GAGAAGAGGUUGCCCCCUUCAUCAGUACCGGCCCCGAGGCGAGCAAGCGCUGGACGGGUUGGGAAAGGGACGGGGGCCGAAACGCCGGCUGGCUUGCCCCGGAGGGCGUUGGGUCGUGGUUUAAGAGGCCACGGACUGUCGCGGAGAUCGCGGGGCGCUUCCA